RNAcentral lists this small RNA (1131 nucleotides) under Oryza sativa Japonica Group (Japanese rice). RNAcentral describes it as "sRNA Os05g0218663". Lineage: Eukaryota; Viridiplantae; Streptophyta; Magnoliopsida; Poales; Poaceae. The record is from RNAcentral.
UCCAUAACAUAAUACUUAUGAAAGAAUCAACAAUUGUAGCUACCAAAAGCUAUACUUCGGUCAAACUUACGGUUCAUCGCAUCGCACGCAAGUCAGCAACUUUGGUCAUACGAACUCAGAUGGACUUUACAGAUUGAAACAAUCAAAAUGUUAAAAGAGGAAAAACAAAGAUUUCCCUCAUGAGGCUCCGCUGUAUCCUGAGCUGUAGCCACUGUAGCCGCCUCUCUUGGUUGUCCUGCUCUCGACUUCCUGGGUUUGUUGGCCCUCGCUGCUUGAUGCAGAGGGUAUCUGGCCAUACUCGCUGGUUGGUGCGCUGUAUUGACUGCUCGUAUCAUUAUUGUUGGUAAAAGCCAUCUUCCUGAACUUCUUCAUGUCCUCGUUGUAUUGGCCAGAAUCAUAGUCAGAGCUGCUGUACGAUCCAAAAUAGCGGCUGUGACCAGGCCGAACACCUUCAUUAAGAUCCUCCAAAGACACGUCACCUUCCAAAGCCCGGACAACCUGACUCAUGCGUGGGCGACGACGAGCGGAAUGGCGUACGCAUGCAGCUGCACAAGCAAUCAUUCUCGCCAUCUCAUUGGGAUUGAAAUCCUUCCCAAGCCGAGGAUCUACUAACUCCUCGUAGUUACCAUUCUCAAGUGCUUGCAUCAGUAAAGGCCUUGCCUGCACGUCUCAACCAAGCUGUCAUCCAUAUAUGUUUGACUUGUAUCAACUGGCCGACGACCAGUUAUUAACUCAAGAAGCAUAACUCCAUAGGAGAAGACAUCUGAUUUCUCAGUGAGCUUGCCAGAAGAUGCGUACUCUGAAUAUAUACAUACCCAAAAGUGCCCAUUACUCUUGUCGAAACAUGAGUGUUAUUAUCACUGGUGAACUUAGCAAGUCCAAAAUCAGCAACCUAUUCAAACUUAAAAUCAAGAAGAAUGUUUGACGCCUUAAUAUCACGAUGGAUGAUCUUAGGAUGGCCUUCUUCAUGAAGAUAAGCUAAACCCUUUGCAGCUCCCAAAGCAAUCUUUAGUCUUGUGGGCCACUCCAUUGUUGGUCGGCCUUUUCCUACGGAUGUGGAAUUCCAAUGUGUUGUUGGGGACAAACUCAUAGACAAGCAAUCUCUUGCCCCCAGAAAUGCAAUAACCAACC